AUACGUAGGGGGCAAGCGUUAUCCGGAAUUACUGGGUGUAAAGGGAGCGCAGACGGCUAAGCAAGUCUGAUGUGAAAGUCAUGGGCUCAACCCAUGGAUUGCAUUGGAAACUGCGAAGCUGGAGUGUCGGAGGGGUAAGCGGAAUUCCUGGUGUAGCGGUGAAAUGCGUAGAUAUCAGGAGGAACACCGGUGGCGAAGGCGGCUUACUGGACGAUCACUGACGUUGAGGCUCGAAAGCGUGGGGAGCAAACAGGAUUAGAUACCCUGGUAGUCCACGCGGUAAACGAUGAAUACCAGGUGUCGGGGGGCGAAGCUCUUCGGUGCCGAAAGCAAACGCAGUAAGUAUUCCACCUGGGGAGUACGUUCGCAAGAAUGAAACUUAAAGGAAUUGACGGGG
RNAcentral lists this ribosomal RNA (397 nucleotides) under uncultured bacterium. Its description in RNAcentral is "partial 16S ribosomal RNA". It matches the Rfam family "Bacterial small subunit ribosomal RNA", at positions 523 to 918 of the family's 1533-position model. The record is from RNAcentral.